Molecule: long non-coding RNA, 437 nt
Organism: Ipomoea nil (Japanese morning glory)
Lineage: Eukaryota; Viridiplantae; Streptophyta; Magnoliopsida; Solanales; Convolvulaceae
Exons: 3
Source: RefSeq, a predicted model, not a curated record
GUAGAGAAGAAAGAGGGGAGAAGAGGCACACAUUCUGCUUUUGGCGUAGCAAGAGGAAGCAAGCAAUAGGUUUUGUUUUUGUGCUCAAAAUAAAAAAAGACAAGGUGACCGUGAAGGUUAGGGCAUAAAGGAAUUUCUAUGCUUAAAAGCUUACUGAGAUUAGAAUGUUGAUCGAGGUUAAGACAAGGGAGGUCACAUGUUGGGGUUAAAGACCAUGGGGUAUUAGUCUAGUGUUUUGUGAUCGAGGAGGACUACUUCUAGUCUUUUUGUGGAGAUCAAAGUCCAUAGUAGGACCUUGGAUUUCAAGUUGUAAUUUUGGACUAUGUCUAGAAGCUUAAGUGUGUAUAUUAUAUUGCCAAUUAAACUAUCUUUGGGAGAAGGAACUUUAAGACCAAGAUGUUGUUUAGGUUAUCUUGUGAUUGAUAUUUUGUUUAGCA